UCCCUGGUAGCUCAGAUGGUAAAGCAUCUGCCUGCAGUGCAGGAGACCUGGGUUUGAACCCUAGGUUGGGAA
This 72-nucleotide transfer RNA is filed under the name Bos taurus (domestic cattle). It matches the Rfam family "tRNA". Rfam says of the family: Transfer RNA (tRNA) molecules are approximately 80 nucleotides in length. Their secondary structure includes four short double-helical elements and three loops (D, anti-codon, and T loops). The record is from Rfam by way of RNAcentral. RNAcentral also lists the same sequence under 1 other name. Lineage: Eukaryota; Metazoa; Chordata; Mammalia; Artiodactyla; Bovidae.